UCAAACAAAAGCCGUAUUUUGUGGAUGCCUUAGGUUCAUAUGCACAAUGGGCGCUUUACGAUGCGAAACGUUGUAUCUGAGACAUCAUUCUGAUAGGUACAAAUCCCCACAGCGGUAAACCGCAAUAUUUUGACACGAGGAGAACUGAAACAUCUAAAUAUCCUCUAGGAAAAGAAAUCAACCGAGAUUCCGUUAGUAUUGGCGAAAGAACGCGGACAAGGCAUAUGAUUAUGAAAUUGAAAAACAUGUUGGAAUACAUAGACCAAAGAAGGUAAAAGUCCUGUAUUAUGCCUUUCAUAAUCAUCAAGAGUAGAACGUUAGACUGUUUGAAAAUAGGAGAACCACCUUCUAAGCCUACAUAUGCAUAUGAGACCGAUAGUGAACAAGUACUGUGAAGGAAAGGUGAAAAGAACCCUCUUGUAUAGGGAGUGAAAAGAUCUGAAACAAAAUACAUACAAUCAAUCGAUAUAUUAAAAAAAUGUAUCGGUGUACCUUUUGCAUAAUGGGUCAGCGACUAAAUGUGUGCAGCUUGCUUAAGCAACGAUGUGGAGGCAAAGCAAAAGCGAGUAGGUUUUCCUGCGUUUGUUGCAUGCAUUUGACCCGAAACUAAGUGAUCUCGUUUUGAGCAGGUUGAAGAAAGCGUAAAGUCUUUUGGAGGACCGAACCGACGUCUGUAGCAAUAGGCGCGGAUGACUUGAUACGAGGGGUGAAAGGCCAAUCAAACUUAGAGAUAGCUGGUUCUCCGCGAAAUUUAUUGAGGUAAAGCGUCUAUUAAAUCUUUCUGGGGGUAGAGCACUUAUUGAGCUAUGGGGGUCCAAAACCUUACUGCUCUCAAGAAAACUCCGAAUACCAGUAAAGUAUAAUAGGCAGACAGACAAGCGGUGCUAAGGUCGCUUGUCGAAAGGGAAACAGCCCAGCCUGGCCGCUAAGGUCCCAAAGCAUUCUGUGAGUGGGAAAAGAUGUGAUACAACUAUGACAACUAGGAGGUUGGCUUGGAAGCAGCCAUUCUAUCAUGAAAGCGUAAUAGCUCACUAGUCGAGUUGUGUUGCGCUGAAAAUGUAUCGGGGCUGAACAGAAUCACCGAAGCGCCAGUUUUUAAGUAGCGAAGCGUUUUGUGCGCCAAUGAACAUACAUCGUAAGAUUUGUGGAAGGUCUCAAAAGUGACUAUGCUGACAUGAGUAACGAAAAAUCAUGUAAAGCCAUGAUCGACAUAAGUACAAGGGUUUCUGCUAACAGGGAAUCAGUGCAGAGUUAAAUUCGGUCCCUAAGAGUUUGUAUACACUUAUACGCUCGAUGGAGGACGUUUAUGCAAGACGGCUAUUAUACACAAAUACUGCAAAUUGGAUACGGUGUAUGUGUGUUGUAGUCCAGGAAAAAAGCAUUAAUGCAAGACCGUACCCGAAACCGACACAGGUGGACGAGUCGAGUAGACUCAGGCGUUGAGUGAACCAUAUUGAAGGAACUCGGCAAAAUAAUCCCGUAACUUAGGAAGAAGGGAUACCGAAAGGUGACACAAAAAUGGGGGUGACGACUUUUUACUAAAAAAUUAGGACUCUGCAAAAUGGUAACAUGCUGUAUAGGGUCUGACGUCUGCCCGGUGCUAGAAGUCUAAAAGGCGCAUUGCAAGAUGCAAAUGGAAAGCCUAGUAAACGGCGGUUGUAACUAUAACAAUCAUAAAGUAGCGAAAUUCAUUGCCAGCUAAUUCCUGGCCUGCAUGAAAGACGUAACGAUUGCCCCACUGUCUCCAGUAUGGACUCAGUGAAAUUGAAUUCUCCGUGCAGAUGCGGAGUACGUGCCCCAAGACGAGAAGACCCUGUGCAUCUUUACUGUACAUUUGCAUUGACAAAACGAUGAGCAUGCGUAGGAUAGGUGGGAGUACAUACAUCCUUGAAAUACCACCCUUGCCAUGGGUUUUGUCUUACACCGAAUUUGGUGCACAAUGCAUGUGAGGCAGUUUGACUGGGGCGGUCGCCUCCUAAAAGGUAACGGAGGCGUGCGAAGGUAAACUCAAUGCAAGACGGAAACUUGCUGAAGAGCGUAAUGGUAUAU
This 2049-nucleotide ribosomal RNA is filed under the name seawater metagenome. RNAcentral describes it as "bacterial LSU rRNA". It matches the Rfam family "Bacterial large subunit ribosomal RNA", at positions 1 to 2362 of the family's 2925-position model. The record is from RNAcentral.